RNAcentral lists this ribosomal RNA (463 nucleotides) under uncultured bacterium. RNAcentral describes it as "partial 16S ribosomal RNA". It matches the Rfam family "Bacterial small subunit ribosomal RNA", at positions 28 to 507 of the family's 1533-position model. The record is from RNAcentral.
GACGAACGCUGGCGGCGUGCUUAACACAUGCAAGUCGAACGGAAAGGCCCUGCUUUUGUGGGGUGCUCGAGUGGCGAACGGGUGAGUAACACGUGAGUAACCUGCCCUUGACUUUGGGAUAACUUCAGGAAACUGGGGCUAAUACCGGAUAGGAGCUCCUGCUGCAUGGUGGGGGUUGGAAAGUUUCGGCGGUUGGGGAUGGACUCGCGGCUUAUCAGCUUGUUGGUGGGGUAGUGGCUUACCAAGGCUUUGACGGGUAGCCGGCCUGAGAGGGUGACCGGCCACAUUGGGACUGAGAUACGGCCCAGACUCCUACGGGAGGCAGCAGUGGGGAAUAUUGGACAAUGGGCGCAAGCCUGAUCCAGCCAUGCCGCGUGAGUGAUGAAGGCCUUAGGGUUGUAAAGCUCUUUUAUCCGGGACGAUAAUGACGGUACCGGAGGAAUAAGCCCCGGCUAACUUCGUG